UUUGGUUAAGUUAGAAAGGGCGCACGGUGGAUGCCUUGACACUAGGAGUCGAUGAAGGACGGGACUAACGCCGAUAUGCUUCGGGGAGCUGUAAGUAAGCUUUGAUCCGAAGAUUUCCGAAUGGGGAAACCCACCAUACGUAAUGGUAUGGUAUCCUUAUCUGAAUACAUAGGGUAAGGAAGACAGACCCAGGGAACUGAAACAUCUAAGUACCUGGAGGAAGAGAAAGCAAAUGCGAUUUCCUGAGUAGCGGCGAGCGAAACGGAACAUAGCCCAAACCAAGAGGCUUGCCUCUUGGGGUUGUAGGACAUUCUAUACGGAGUUACAAAGGAACGAGGUAGACGAAGCGACCUGGAAAGGUCCGUCGUAGAGGGUAACAACCCCGUAGUCGAAACUUCGUUCUCUCUUGAAUGUAUCCUGAGUACGGCGGAACACGUGAAAUUCCGUCGGAAUCUGGGAGGACCAUCUCCCAAGGCUAAAUACUCCCUAGUGAUCGAUAGUGAACCAGUACCGUGAGGGGAAAGGUGAAAAGCACCCCGGAAGGGGAGUGAAAGAGAUCCUGAAACCGUGUGCCUACAAAUAGUCAGAGCCCGUUAACGGGUGAUGGCGUGCCUUUGUAGAAUGAACCGGCGAGUUACGAUCCCGUGCGAGGUUAAGCUGAAGAGGCGGAGCCGCAGCGAAAGCGAGUCUGAAUAGGGCGUUUAGUACGUGGUCGUAGACCCCGAAACCAGGUGAUCUACCCAUGUCCAGGGUGAAGUUCAGGUAACACUGAAUGGAGGCCCGAACCCACGCACGUUGAAAAGUGCGGGGAUGAGGUGUGGGUAGCGGAGAAAUUCCAAUCGAACCUGGAGAUAGCUGGUUCUCCCCGAAAUAGCUUUAGGGCUAGCCUUAAGUGUAAGAGUCUUGGAGGUAGAGCACUGAUUGGACUAGGGGUCCUCAUCGGAUUACCGAAUUCAGUCAAACUCCGAAUGCCAAUGACUUAUCCUUAGGAGUCAGACUGCGAGUGAUAAGAUCCGUAGUCAAAAGGGAAACAGCCCAGACCGCCAGCUAAGGUCCCAAAGUGUGUAUUAAGUGGAAAAGGAUGUGGAGUUGCUUAGACAACUAGGAUGUUGGCUUAGAAGCAGCCACCAUUUAAAGAGUGCGUAAUAGCUCACUAGUCGAGUGACUCUGCGCCGAAAAUGUACCGGGGCUAAAUACACCACCGAAGCUGCGGAUUGAUACCAAUGGUAUCAGUGGUAGGGGAGCGUUCUAAGGACAGUGAAGUCAGACCGGAAGGACUGGUGGAGUGCUUAGAAGUGAGAAUGCCGGUAUGAGUAGCGAAAGACGGGUGAGAAUCCCGUCCACCGAAUGCCUAAGGUUUCCUGAGGGAAGGCUCGUCCGCUCAGGGUUAGUCAGGACCUAAGCCGAGGCCGACAGGCGUAGGCGAUGGACAACAGGUUGAUAUUCCUGUACCACCUCUUUAUCGUUUGAGCAAUGGAGGGACGCAGAAGGAUAGAAGAAGCGUGCGAUUGGUUGUGCACGUCCAAGCAGUUAGGCUGAUAAGUAGGCAAAUCCGCUUAUCGUGAAGGCUGAGCUGUGAUGGGGAAGCUCCUUAUGGAGCGAAGUCUUUGAUUCCCCGCUGCCAAGAAAAGCUUCUAGCGAGAUAAAAGGUGCCUGUACCGCAAACCGACACAGGUAGGCGAGGAGAGAAUCCUAAGGUGUGCGAGAGAACUCUGGUUAAGGAACUCGGCAAAAUGACCCCGUAACUUCGGGAGAAGGGGUGCUUUCUUAACGGAAAGCCGCAGUGAAUAGGCCCAAGCGACUGUUUAGCAAAAACACAGCUCUCUGCGAAGCCGUAAGGCGAAGUAUAAGGGGUGACACCUGCCCGGUGCUGGAAGGUUAAGGAGAGGGGUUAGCGUAAGCGAAGCUCUGAACUGAAGCCCCAGUAAACGGCGGCCGUAACUAUAACGGUCCUAAGGUAGCGAAAUUCCUUGUCGGGUAAGUUCCGACCCGCACGAAAGGUGUAACGAUUUGGGCACUGUCUCAACCAGAGACUCGGUGAAAUUAUAGUACCUGUGAAGAUGCAGGUUACCCGCGACAGGACGGAAAGACCCCGUGGAGCUUUACUGUAGCCUGAUAUUGAAUUUUGGUACAGUUUGUACAGGAUAGGCGGGAGCCAUUGAAACCGGAGCGCUAGCUUCGGUGGAGGCGCUGGUGGGAUACCGCCCCUGACUGUAUUGAAAUUCUAACCUACGGGUCUUAUCGACCCGGGAGACAGUGUCAGGUGGGCAGUUUGACUGGGGCGGUCGCCUCCUAAAGUGUAACGGAGGCGCCCAAAGGUUCCCCUCAGAAUGGUUGGAAAUCAUUCGUAGAGUGCAAAGGCAUAAGGGAGCUUGACUGCGAGACCUACAAGUCGAGCAGGGACGAAAGUCGGGCUUAGUGAUCCGGUGGUUCCGCAUGGAAGGGCCAUCGCUCAACGGAUAAAAGCUACCCCGGGGAUAACAGGCUUAUCUCCCCCAAGAGUCCACAUCGACGGGGAGGUUUGGCACCUCGAUGUCGGCUCAUCGCAUCCUGGGGCUGUAGUCGGUCCCAAGGGGUUGGGCUGUUCGCCCAUUAAAGCGGUACGCGAGCUGGGUUCAGAACGUCGUGAGACAGUUCGGUCCCUAUCCGUCGUGGGCGUAGGGAAAUUUGAGAGGAGCUGUCCUUAGUACGAGAGGACCGGGAUGGACGCACCGCUGGUGUACCAGUUGUUCUGCCAAGGGCAUAGCUGGGUAGCUAUGUGCGGAAGGGAUAAGUGCUGAAAGCAUCUAAGCAUGAAGCCCCCCUCAAGAUGAGAUUUCCCAUAGCGUAAGCUAGUAAGAUCCCUGAAAGAUGAUCAGGUUGAUAGGUUCGAGGUGGAAGCAUGGUGACAUGUGGAGCUGACGAAUACUAAUAGAUCGAGGACUUAACCAUAUAA
Molecule: ribosomal RNA, 2935 nt
Filed under: Bacillus thuringiensis
Lineage: Bacteria; Bacillati; Bacillota; Bacilli; Caryophanales; Bacillaceae
Description: 23S ribosomal RNA
Rfam family: Bacterial large subunit ribosomal RNA
Source: RNAcentral